AUCCAUGAACCUAGUCAAGGCUCCAGUACACUGCUUUUCAGCGGAAUCACACACUUGGGGCCUGUUACGUUCAUGGGAGAAUGAAUCGGUUCGAUCAUCUUCGCCAUUGGUCUUCGUUUUGGAGGCCAUGGAUCACCGGAGAUUUGGGCUCGGGAAGUCUCUUCAGAGUUGAGUAUGGUGUAUUGCGACCUUUAUGGUGGCGAGGCAGGCUGCACUCAUAGUUUUGGGACAUACACUA
Molecule: small nucleolar RNA, 238 nt
Filed under: Laccaria bicolor S238N-H82
Lineage: Eukaryota; Fungi; Basidiomycota; Agaricomycetes; Agaricales; Hydnangiaceae
Description: Small nucleolar RNA snR191
Rfam family: Small nucleolar RNA snR191
Source: Rfam by way of RNAcentral